This 621-nucleotide ribosomal RNA is filed under the name Russula sp. 1 RG-2012. RNAcentral's name for it is "eukaryotic LSU rRNA". The stretch from base 203 to 356 matches the Rfam family "5.8S ribosomal RNA". The record is from RNAcentral. Lineage: Eukaryota; Fungi; Basidiomycota; Agaricomycetes; Russulales; Russulaceae.
AAGGAUCAUUAUCGUUAAACCGAGGCGCGACGGCUGUCGCUGACCUUCCCCGGUCGUGCACGCCCGAGCCCUCUCACAAUCCAUCUCACCCUUUGUGCAUCACCGCGUGGGUCCCCCUUUGCCGGAGGGCCCGCGUCNUUACNCNAAACUCGAUACNNUGUAGAAUGUUUUUAUUUUCGCGCUCGCACGCGAUCAACAAUACAACUUUCAACAACGGAUCUCUUGGCUCUCGCAUCGAUGAAGAACGCAGCGAAAUGCGAUACGUAAUGUGAAUUGCAGAAUUCAGUGAAUCAUCGAAUCUUUGAACGCACCUUGCGCCCCUUGGCAUUCCGAGGGGCACACCCGUUUGAGUGUCGUGAAAUCUUCAAAAACCCUCUCUUUCGAGGGGGAUUUUUGGACUUGGAGGUUCAAUGCCCGCUUUCGCCUUUUAGAAAGCGAGCUCCUCUCAAAUGAAUCAGUGGGGUCUGCUUUGCCGGUCCUUGACGUGAUAAGAUCUUUCUACGUUUUGGAUUCGACAUCGUCCCGCUUCCAAUCGUCCCACGGACAAUGGAUGGUGCUCCGGUCGCGGCCGGACCCAAAAACCUUGACCUCAAAUCGGGUGAGACUACCCGCCGAACUUAA